RNAcentral lists this ribosomal RNA (467 nucleotides) under Methanoculleus sp. enrichment culture clone CIBANICRA-45. RNAcentral's name for it is "bacterial SSU rRNA". It matches the Rfam family "Archaeal small subunit ribosomal RNA", at positions 305 to 776 of the family's 1478-position model. Lineage: Archaea; Methanobacteriati; Methanobacteriota; Methanomicrobia; Methanomicrobiales; Methanomicrobiaceae. The record is from RNAcentral.
GAAACCGAAUCCCGGCCCUACGGGUGCGCAGCAGGCGCGAAAACUUUACAAUGCGGGCAACAGUGAUAAGGGAACCUCGAGUGCCUGUAUAUGCAGGCUGUCCAGGUGUCUAAAACACACCUGAAGAAAGGGCCGGGCAAGACCGGUGCCAGCCGCCGCGGUAAUACCGGCGGCUCGAGUGGUGGCCGCUUUUAUUGGGCUUAAAGCGUUCGUAGCUGGGUCGUUAAGUCUCUUGGGAAAUCCGGCAGCUCAACUGUCGGGCGUCUAAGAGAUACUGGCGAUCUUGGAACCGGGAGAGGUGAGGGGUACUUCGGGGGUAGGAGUGAAAUCCUGUAAUCCUCGAGGGACCACCUGUGGCGAAGGCGCCUCACCAGAACGGCUUCGACAGUGAGGGACGAAAGCUGGGGGAGCAAACCGGAUUAGAUACCCGGGUAGUCCCAGCCGUAAACUAUGCGCGUUAGGUGACC